UUUGAAGGUUUUUUUUCCAGCCGCAGAUCAUGCUGCCCAUGGAGAGGCCCAUCCCCCGGUACUGCAGCAUCAUGUUGGAAAGCAGCUUGGAGGCUGCAGACACGGAGAUGCGUUCUCCAUUCCGAAGAUAAUACAGCCUGUGGGAGCGAGGAGGAGUGAGGAGGAGGAGGAGGAGGAGGAGGCCUCAGGGGCAGCUAUGCCUGCAUUCCCUUUCUCCCAUAGCACGAGGGAGCAAGGACCGUACAGAUGAGUGUUUGGAAGGAGGCUGGAAGAGUUUUGAGAUCAAAGAAAUGAGCCCACAGCUCCCCCCACCACCACCCCGUGCUAUAAUGCCCACUCUGUCUGAACUUCGGCACAGGCCUUCCACUCUACUGAGAGAACAGCUCCACGAGUCAGACCACUGGAGCACACACGGAGCACACAUACUCACAAAUGUAACUCCCUGAAGUGGCCCUGGAGUCCACGGCCACGAUGACCCCAUGCUGGAACUUGAAG
RNAcentral lists this long non-coding RNA (495 nucleotides) under Mus pahari (shrew mouse). Its description in RNAcentral is "lncRNA (MGP_PahariEiJ_G0002786.1)". The record is from RNAcentral. Lineage: Eukaryota; Metazoa; Chordata; Mammalia; Rodentia; Muridae.